RNAcentral lists this ribosomal RNA (641 nucleotides) under Lacticaseibacillus rhamnosus. RNAcentral's name for it is "bacterial SSU rRNA". It matches the Rfam family "Bacterial small subunit ribosomal RNA", at positions 371 to 1003 of the family's 1533-position model. Lineage: Bacteria; Bacillati; Bacillota; Bacilli; Lactobacillales; Lactobacillaceae. The record is from RNAcentral.
AUGGACGCAAGUCUGAUGGAGCAACGCCGCGUGAGUGAAGAAGGCUUUCGGGUCGUAAAACUCUGUUGUUGGAGAAGAAUGGUCGGCAGAGUAACUGUUGUCGGCGUGACGGUAUCCAACCAGAAAGCCACGGCUAACUACGUGCCAGCAGCCGCGGUAAUACGUAGGUGGCAAGCGUUAUCCGGAUUUAUUGGGCGUAAAGCGAGCGCAGGCGGUUUUUUAAGUCUGAUGUGAAAGCCCUCGGCUUAACCGAGGAAGUGCAUCGGAAACUGGGAAACUUGAGUGCAGAAGAGGACAGUGGAACUCCAUGUGUAGCGGUGAAAUGCGUAGAUAUAUGGAAGAACACCAGUGGCGAAGGCGGCUGUCUGGUCUGUAACUGACGCUGAGGCUCGAAAGCAUGGGUAGCGAACAGGAUUAGAUACCCUGGUAGUCCAUGCCGUAAACGAUGAAUGCUAGGUGUUGGAGGGUUUCCGCCCUUCAGUGCCGCAGCUAACGCAUUAAGCAUUCCGCCUGGGGAGUACGACCGCAAGGUUGAAACUCAAAGGAAUUGACGGGGGCCCGCACAAGCGGUGGAGCAUGUGGUUUAAUUCGAAGCAACGCGAAGAACCUUACCAGGUCUUGACAUCUUUUGAUCACCUGAG